AUCCGUAUCACCUGGGAGCUUGUUAGAAAAGCAGAAUCUCAGCCUCCACCCAGGAACUACUGAGAUUAGAUCUGCAUUUUAACAAGAUCCCUGGGGGUGGGGGC
Molecule: microRNA precursor, 104 nt
Filed under: Marmota monax (woodchuck)
Lineage: Eukaryota; Metazoa; Chordata; Mammalia; Rodentia; Sciuridae
Source: RNAcentral